GCCUCGUUAUAUCAGUCGGUAGAUAGUUUGGCUUUUACUCUGCCUCAUCGGCCUGAGUGACCAAAACGUCACGGGUUCGAGCCCCGUACGAGGCU
RNAcentral lists this transfer RNA (95 nucleotides) under Apiotrichum porosum. RNAcentral describes it as "tRNA-Lys". It matches the Rfam family "tRNA". From Rfam's summary of the family: Transfer RNA (tRNA) molecules are approximately 80 nucleotides in length. Their secondary structure includes four short double-helical elements and three loops (D, anti-codon, and T loops). The record is from RNAcentral. Lineage: Eukaryota; Fungi; Basidiomycota; Tremellomycetes; Trichosporonales; Trichosporonaceae.